CCCCGUCCUACCCCCCACCCCGGGGAGCCCAAACAGAGGCCCAGAGCACCCCACGCAGCCCGCGACGCUGGGGUUGUGUUCACCUCCGGCGGCUCCAGCUCGCUGCGGUUUCUCGGGCUUCUCCUCUCCCGCCUUCCCGUCCGCCAUUUUCCCCGCCGCGGCCUCCCCUGCAGCCACGCCAAGGACGUCACGGCCCCGCCCAGCCACCAUUGAGUUUCGGAGCCGGCGGGCGAGGCGGCGGCCUAGAGCGGCCCGGGAAAGGCCGAGGAGGCCGUUUGGGAAACGGAAGCGGGUGUGACGUCAUCCCCCGGCGCCUCUGCAGGAAGGGCGGGAAAGGUUGGGCUGCGUGUCUCCGGAGGACGGCUCGGGGCCUGGCGGGACCUUGCUUAGGCUCCCGGGGUCCAGAGAAGUGGGAGCGUGACUCCGGGAGCGGCGGCGAGGUCUUGUUAAGCUUUCGGCGGACCAGGACGAAACUGGGACACUGAAAAGGCAAGAGACGAAACAAACUUGGAAUUCAGGCAGAGAGCUACAACAAAACCAGAGAGGAAAAGUAGCCAAUCAGAGUUUCACUGGAGGGACGUGGGGAAAGUCAAGGAAGAGUAAGAGAGAGGAUCCCAGGCAGGCUCCAUGCCCAGUACAGAGCCUGACGUGGGGCUCAAUCUCCAACCCCAAGACCAUGAACUGAACAGAAACCAAGUGUCGGAUAGUUAACCAACUGAGCCACCCAGGCGCAUUGCCCUGCCCCACCUAGAGUCUUUUGGAAAUGAAUUAAAAGUCUUUGACCUCUUCAAUCUGUUGACAAGCUCUUCUUGAGAAGACGGAGAUAUCUCCAGAUAACCAGCAUGUUUUCUCUUAGGAACAAACCUCAGAGCCUCUUCCCAACUACCAGUGUUUUUCAGGCAUAACAAAAUACGCAUCAUUUGAUCUAAGAAACACAUUCCAUGGCAGUUUUGAGUUCUUCUUCACUGAUGUGUUCUGGUACUUCUCUGCCAAGCAAUCUCCACAUCUCAAUUAACUCCUUCAUGGCAACUACAGGAUCUUCAUCUUUGCUACCUGAGUCAGCUGAAACAUCUUGCACACUAGAUUUCAUCGUAAUUUUCCAACUAUCCAAUUCCAGCUUUUCAGGAGGUGAUGUACUCUCCUUAUUGGGAUAGGACACAGCUGGUAUCUUGGAAGACAAGUAUCGUUGCAGAACUCCUGAACAUAAAACCCUUCUCUUCCUAGGAAUGGUAAAUGGCACCAAAAAUCUGGCCAAAGAUCUUAAGAUGAUACUACCAUUCAUUUUGAGGAAAACAGACAUGUAAGACCCCUAUAAAAGAAGCAAAAUGUAAUGCAAAGUUAGAUAAAGAUGUUUAAAACCUGUCAACUAAUUGUGCAAGUAUAAAUUUGAGACCCCCAAAAAGCAACUGAUUUUUGAAACACAAAGUAAGCUCAACGUUAUUUGCUAUUCCAUUAAUUUUUCCUAGACUCCUGUGGCCUAGAGCCUGUAAUCACUCACCAGGCUAAAAGUUUAACUUAUUUGGGUUAUUUUAGACAUGAAUUUCACUAUUGCUUCAGGGAAAAGAAUACCUUGAAGAUCUUUUUUAGAUUUGUAUUUAGGGGCCCAGGAUAACAGUAUUUCUGGGUAACAAAGUAAUGUACUGCUGAAAGGGGGAGAUCAUGACACUGUAUUCUUCUCCAUUCUAUACUGAGUCCGGAUACAGACCCAAACACAAGAUCCUUAACAUAAGCAACACGUCAAGACAAGAAGACGAAGGGCAGAAAAGCUAAAGAGGAUGGCAUCUACUGAAAAAAACCCUUAGGAGCUGCUUUAUUAAUGCUCUUAUGUUUUCAAAAAAGAAACAGAGGAAGACCUACUUAUUCAAAAACAAAAUAGAAGUGCGUGGGUGCCUCGGUCUAUUAAGCGGCUGCCUUGGGUUCGGAUCAGCAAUUUGGAAAGGGAA
Canis lupus familiaris (dog) is the source of this 1943-nucleotide long non-coding RNA. RefSeq lists it as uncharacterized. The transcript has 5 exons. Lineage: Eukaryota; Metazoa; Chordata; Mammalia; Carnivora; Canidae. The record is from RefSeq and is a predicted model, not a curated record.